CAGUAGCCGCGGUAAUACGAAGGGUGCAAGCGUUACUCGGAAUUACUGGGCGUAAAGCGUGCGUAGGUGGUGGUUUAAGUCCGUUGUGAAAGCCCUGGGCUCAACCUGGGAAUUGCAGUGGAUACUGGGUCACUAGAGUGUGGUAGAGGAUAGUGGAAUUUCCGGUGUAGCAGUGAAAUGCGUAGAGAUCGGAAGGAACAUCUGUGGCGAAGGCGACUAUCUGGGCCAACACUGACACUGAGGCACGAAAGCGUGGGGAGCAAACAGGAUUAGAUACCCCGGUAGUCCCUGUCUCUUUACA
This 301-nucleotide ribosomal RNA is filed under the name uncultured bacterium. Its description in RNAcentral is "partial 16S ribosomal RNA". It matches the Rfam family "Bacterial small subunit ribosomal RNA", at positions 509 to 808 of the family's 1533-position model. The record is from RNAcentral.